AGGAUCAAAGGCCUUUCUCUGAGGAGUUAGGAAGAGGAGCUCGGUGGUGAUUCACUACCGGGUUUGGUUUAUCUUACUUUCUUGUUGAUUGUUCUUAUUUUUUUCCUUUCAGUGAAUGAUCUUGGGUUGUCUUUGAGAACUAUUAAACAGUAUUAUUACUUCUGUGAUUGCUCCUGAUAGACUAGAUCUGAGUUUAUGCCUGCUAUUGCUUGAAUGUAGUUCAGUGCAUCAGAUUCUAUUGUUGUUUUCUUGAGCAAAAUUAGAGAUAAUUUCAAAUCAGUGAGCUCUGAUUUAGAGCAGAACAUCUGGAAAUUUACUGAAAUACAGUGUGAGUGCUGAAUUUGUGCUUGAAUUUACUAGAUCUGAACAAGGUCAUUACACCAUCCUUCCACCGAUGAAGUUCAUAUCAAAGCCAAAGAACUGAAUAACAUAUUUAAUGUAAGUUGGAAGACAAGGAACAAGUGGUGGAUUGAUAUACCAGAACCUCGUCCAGAAAAGAAACAAAAGGUUGCAAUUCUUAACAAAAAAUUAUUAUCAAAAGAAAAGGAGGAGCAAGCUAUGCAAACUCAUCGAUUCACUGUUGAAACAAAGACUUUCAAGACAUGCAAAGAUGGUGUUGCAGAAGAAAAACAUGAUGACCACCCUUUGGAUAUUCAUCCCUGCAAAGCCAAUUCAACAACUUUUCAGCCUUGCAAAUAUACUGCUGCAGUUUCUGAAGCCAAGGCUCAACCCAGUCCUGAUACUGUUCUCAUACAAAAAGGGAAAAAUAAUGACUUGAUGGAGAAGCAAAUUUCAUCAUCUAAAGCUCUUCGUGCCACAAAGAUGAAGGCUUGUUUUGCAGAUACAAUUAUAUAUAAAAGCGCAAAAAGCACUUCAACUUGAUGACAUACAAAUUGAUCUAAAGAUGGAGAUUCAAGCAGAAGUAGAAAAUUUAGAAAAGCCACACCAAAAUGAGAAGGCCAGGUUAGAAUAUCAAAGAAAAACGCAGAUACAAAAGGAAAGAGAGGUGGCUCGAAUCACACUCGAGAAGAUGGAACAAACUGUGAAGCUCAAUCAAAGUUUGGAGAAGGAAGUUGAAGAUAUGAUGAAGAUCAUGAGCUAUGGUUCUUUUUUAAGAAGAGGGUACCUUAGAUAACUGUGAUUGGACUAGGAUCAAUCACCAGAAUCUCCAGACGAUGAAUGCGAUUGGUGGGGGUUAUGAGAAGAAUGGCCUCUACUACUUAUCUACCGAUGCCUUUCCUGUUGCUUCUGCCACUCAGUUGUCUCCUGUGCAAAUACACCGUCGUCUGGGUCACCCUAGCCUUUCUGUCUUGAAGUGUCAGUUUCCAGAGUCAGAAUCUAUCAAGUAAUUGGACUGUGAGGCAUGCCAGCUUGGUAAGCAUCAUAGAUCAAGGUUUUCUGCUAGAAGUAACAAAAGAGAAACUAUGCCCUUUGCUCUUGUUCAUGCAGAUUUAUGGGGUCCUUGUAAUGUUACUAAUGUUAAGGGCUAUAAAUAUUUUCUGGUUUUGGUUGAUGAUUGUACCAGAGUCACUUGGGUCUAUAUGUUACGUCAGAAAUCUGAAACUCCUGAUGUUAUUAAGAAGUUUUUUGCUCAAAUAAAAACACAAUUUUCUA
Molecule: long non-coding RNA, 1614 nt
Organism: Dioscorea cayenensis subsp. rotundata (Guinea yam)
Lineage: Eukaryota; Viridiplantae; Streptophyta; Magnoliopsida; Dioscoreales; Dioscoreaceae
Exons: 9
Source: RefSeq, a predicted model, not a curated record